UUGCUAGCUUUGGCAGCACAUAUACAAAAAUUGGAAUGAUACAGAGAUUAGUGUGGCCCCUGUGCAAGGAUGACACGCAAAUUUGUGAAGCGUUCCACGUUUUU
Small nuclear RNA from Balaenoptera ricei (Rice's whale), 104 nucleotides. Lineage: Eukaryota; Metazoa; Chordata; Mammalia; Artiodactyla; Balaenopteridae. The record is from RefSeq and is a predicted model, not a curated record.